UGAAGUACAUAUUCAUGCCACCUAGAGGAUGGCUAGGCUAUAGCAGCUGUGAAGGUCGUGGCAAGCUGCGAUAAGCCCCGGGGAGCCGCAAGUCAGGUAUUGAACCGGGGAUCACCUAAUGUGCCGAGAGGCACGCACACGCGGCGAACUGAAAAAUCUUAGUAGCCGCAGGAAAAGAAAGCGAAAGCGAUUCCGUUAGUAAAGCGAUUGAAACCGGAAGAGGGCAACCUGAAUCCCCAUUUGCAAAAAUGGCGGAGAUGUGGGACAGUAGCAUCCCAAUCACGAGUCGAGCGUUCUGGAAAGAACGGCCAUAGAGAGUGACAGCCUCGUAGAUUAAGUGAGAGGGAGUAGCUGUGAAGGAGUAGUUCUGGUUGAUUAUCCAGAGCGAAGACGGGGGCAUUAAACCCCAACCCUAAAUAUUGGCUAUAGACCGAUAGUGGACAAGUAGCGCGAGCGAAAGCUGAAAAGAACCCAUACCUAUGGGAUUGAAAAGAUCUGAAACUAGGUGGCGACAUGAAGGUAAGGCGUUAAAGUGAUGAUGCAUGCAGAAGCUGAAGCACGAAAGUGCCAUGCGAUGCGUGAGUAACAGCGUUUUACCAUUCUUCUUGAAGCAAGAGCCAGGGAGUGUAUUUGAGUGGCGAGCCGCGCAAGCGGCGUAGCGAAAGCGAGGGCGCGCAACAUGUGAGGCGCAUGGUAUGAAAAUGCCAAAGUCACUUUUUUACGACCCGAAGCCGUUGUGAACUACGCGAGACUAGGGCGAAGCUAGGCUAAAGCCUGGUGGAGGCCCGCAACCUGUCAUGGCAUGUCCUGUUGGGUGAGUUUCGGGUAGCGGCGAUAUACCAUUCGAACACGGCAAUAGCGGGUCCCCUCUGAAGUAUCUUUAGGAUAGCUCCGGGCGAGUUUGCAUGUGCGGUAGAGCUACCGAUCAAUUGGGGCGGAGUCGAAAGGCUCCACCAAUUUGUCAAACUCCGAAUGCAUAUGCUGCGUAGACCCCGGGAGUCGGCGAGGUUGGGUAAGCCAGCCCCGCGAGACUGCAAAGAUAGUGAAUGUGGUUAAGGUCCCAAAGUUCUGAUUGAGUGUCUUAAAGGCUGAACAUGACACAGACAGCCGGGAGGUAGGCUCAGAAGCAGCCACCCUUUAAAAAACGCGUAAUAGCGUACCGGUAGAGCCAUGUUUGGCUGAAGAUAUACGGGGCUAAAUCAGGCACCGAGACCACAUCGUGCGAUAAGCACGGGUAAGAGGGCAUGUGGCACGGCAAGAAGUAAGUUCGAGAGGACUUAUGGACCGUGCUAUAGGGAAAAUCCUGGUAUCAGUAACAUCAUAUAUGGGUGAGAAUCCCAUACACCGGAAGCACAAGGUUUUCUUCGCGACGCUCGUCAGCGGAGAGUUAGUCGAUCCUAAGUGCAAUGCUAAUCACAAUUGCACAAAAGGGAAGCUGGUUAAUAUUCCAGCACUUGGGAUGUAGGCGUGGCAACACAAGGUGGAUUUCUGACGGUUGGGGAUAGGUUCGAAAGAAAGUGCAAAGGGCUGCGGAGUCUCGUUAUGAGGAGAAGCAGCUAAAUGAACUAAUGAACUGAAUUCCUGACCCAGUGAAAAGGGAAUCCGCAACGAUCAGUCUAAACCGUACCUAGAACCAUUAGAGGUGCUGCUGGCUGAAAAGGCCAAGGUGUGACGGAAUAACCAAUCUUAGGGAAAUCGGCAAAAUAGUGGCGUAAGUUUUCGAGAAGCCAUGUCUGCGUAUAGGAUAUGCAGAUAUCAUUGACUAGGGGACAGCAACUGUUUAUCAAAAACACAACUCACCGCAAAGCGGAAACGCUAAGUACAGUGGGUGACGCCUGCUCACCGCCAGUACGUGAAGGCCCUUUACAAGGGGAGUAAGCGCUGGCAAAGAGCGGGAGUAACUCUGACUCUCUUGAGGUAGCGUAAUACCUCGUCACUUAAUAGGUGACUUGCAUGAAGGGCGUAAUGACUGUCCCACUGUCCCAAGAUUGGAUCCGGUGAACUUACUGCGCGGUGAAUAUGCCGCGAUCUCUCAGUGGGAAACGAAGUCUCCAUGAAUCUUGACUACAGCCUGUUGUUGUUGCAAUGCAAAUUAUGCAUAGCGUAAGUGGGAGCGUCGAUCCGGUUGCUCAGGCGGCCGGGGAGCGCCAAUGUAACACCACUCCUAGUUUGCCUUGCAGCUAACUCGCGAGAGGACAGCAGCAGGUGGGUAGUUGGACUGGACGGUUGCUCUCGAUAAAGAAACGAGAGUGGCCAACGCUCUGCUUAGGUGGAUUGGGAAUCCACCGGUAAGCAUAAAGGUAAAUGCAGGGCUGACUGUGUUCUUAAAAGCGUGGAACGCAGACUAGAAAUAGGGGCUUAGCGAACUUUGGUACCUCUUUUAAUGGGGGUCCAAGCUGUCAAAAAAGUUACUCUGGAGGUAACCGAUUCGUCGCCAGUAAGCGUCCACAGCGACCUGGCGGUUUGAUACAUCGAUAUGGGCUUACGAUAUCCUGGCCGUGCACAAGCGGCCAAGGGUUGGACUGCUCGUCCAUUAAAAUCGUACACGAGCUGAGUUCAGUCCGCCGCGAGGCAGGACGGUAGUAUCUACUGGGAGUGUCAGUGUCAGAGGGUAAGCUCCCCUCAAUACGAGAGGAACGGGGGAUCGGCGCCUCUAGUGUACCGGUUGUGAUUGCACUGCCGGGUAGCCACGCGCCAAAAGGAUAAGCCCUGAAAGCAUCUAAGGACGAAGCCAGACCCGAAACUAGACACUAGGUCGGCCGCAAUAGACGGCUUUGAUAGGACGGGUGCGUAAGCAGAGAGCGCAAGCGAUUUGCGAACAUACCGUUACUAAAGACUAAUUGUACGAUA
This 2850-nucleotide ribosomal RNA is filed under the name Microcaldota archaeon. RNAcentral's name for it is "23S ribosomal RNA". It matches the Rfam family "Archaeal large subunit ribosomal RNA". The record is from RNAcentral. Lineage: Archaea; Nanobdellati; Microcaldota.